AAAAAUGGCCAUGCCACCCUGAACGUGCCCGAUCUUGUCUGAUCUCGGAAGCUAAGCAGGGUCAGGCCUGGUUAGCUUGGAUGAAAGACUACCUAGGAAUACCAGGUGCUGUAAGCA
RNAcentral lists this ribosomal RNA (117 nucleotides) under Pteropus alecto (black flying fox). The record is from RNAcentral. Lineage: Eukaryota; Metazoa; Chordata; Mammalia; Chiroptera; Pteropodidae.